AUACGGAGGAUCCAAGCGUUAUCCGGAUUUAUUGGGUUUAAAGGGUGCGUAGGCGGACUGGUAAGUCAGCUGUGAAAGUUUGCGGCUUAACCGUAAAAUUGCAGUUGAUACUGUCAGUCUUGAGUGUGCAUGAGGUGGGCGGAAUUUGUGGUGUAGCGGUGAAAUGCUUAGAUAUCACGAGGAACUCCAAUUGCGAAGGCAGCUCACUGGGGCAUAACUGACGCUGAUGCACGAAGGUGUGGGUAUCAAACAGGAUUAGAUACCCUGGUAGUCCACCCAGUAAACUAUGAAUACUCGCUGUUUGCGAUAUACAGUAAGCGGCCAAGCGAAAGCAUUAAGUAUUCCACCUGGGGAGUACGCCGGCAACGGUGAAACUCAAAUGAAUUGACGGGG
This 393-nucleotide ribosomal RNA is filed under the name uncultured bacterium. RNAcentral's name for it is "partial 16S ribosomal RNA". It matches the Rfam family "Bacterial small subunit ribosomal RNA", at positions 523 to 918 of the family's 1533-position model. The record is from RNAcentral.